RNAcentral lists this ribosomal RNA (265 nucleotides) under uncultured bacterium. RNAcentral's name for it is "partial 16S ribosomal RNA". It matches the Rfam family "Bacterial small subunit ribosomal RNA", at positions 793 to 1055 of the family's 1533-position model. The record is from RNAcentral.
GUCCACGCUGUAAACGAUGGGCACUAGGUGCUCGGGGUAUUGACCCCCUGGGUGCCGUAGCUAACGCAUUAAGUGCCCCGCCUGGGGACUACGGCCGCAAGGCUAAAACUCAAAGGAAUUGACGGGGGCCCGCACAAGCGGUGGAGCAUGUGGUUCAAUUCGACGCAACGCGAAGAACCUUACCUGGGCUAGACAACAGGAGACAUCCCCAGAAAUGGGGCUUUCCCUUCGGGGACUCCUGGUUCAGGUGCUGCAUGGCUGUCGU